UGUUCAUCUCAUUUACAGUAAAAGAUAUUUUCUUGCUAUAAAACUAUAAAUUCAAUACAAAGAAGCAACAACUCCUUCAACAUCAUCAGGAAGACAUCCCUAAGAAUAACAUUGUAGGUUGUUUGGUUUGUGGAAAGAUGACAAAGUUUUGCUCCCCUUGUGUCGUUUUACUCCUCCUCAUAGUCUUCUCAGUUGAUAAUGUCCCAGUGAAAAUUGAAGCUAAGACAUGUACAAUAGCGUGGCAAGGUUGUGAGACUAAAGAAAAGUGUGACACACAAUGUUUAGGAAGAUAUGGUGGACAUGGAUAUUGUUUUAAACCUCCUAUCGCUCUCUUUGUUGAAUGUAGAUGUGAAUACCCUUGUUAAUCAUAAUCUCGAUAUUACAAAUGCCAAAAGAUCAUUAUUGGUCUUGAUAUAUUAAUCUGCUUGUUCUCUUCAGUGUAACCGUAAACUUUGAUAUGAUAAUAAUAUAAUAAAGAGAUGUUUAGCCAGUAGAA
Papaver somniferum (opium poppy) is the source of this 496-nucleotide long non-coding RNA. RefSeq lists it as uncharacterized. The record is from RefSeq and is a predicted model, not a curated record. Lineage: Eukaryota; Viridiplantae; Streptophyta; Magnoliopsida; Ranunculales; Papaveraceae. The transcript has 2 exons.